Molecule: ribosomal RNA, 253 nt
Filed under: uncultured bacterium
Lineage: Bacteria
Description: partial 16S ribosomal RNA
Rfam family: Bacterial small subunit ribosomal RNA
Source: RNAcentral
UACGAAGGGGGCUAGCGUUGCUCGGAAUUACUGGGCGUAAAGGGAGCGUAGGCGGAUAGUUUAGUCAGAGGUGAAAGCCCAGGGCUCAACCUUGGAAUUGCCUUUGAUACUGGCUAUCUUGAGUACGGAAGAGGUAUGUGGAACUCCGAGUGUAGAGGUGAAAUUCGUAGAUAUUCGGAAGAACACCAGUGGCGAAGGCGGCUCACUGGCCCGAUACUGACGCUGAGGCACGAUAGCGUGGGGAGCAAACAGG